CGCCAGAUCUGUCGCCGUCACAGCCCGCGGAGGUUGCCGUCGCCGCGGCAUCCGAGCGUUGCCUUCUGCCUCGCCGCGCCACGCCGCCUUCCGCCUGCCUGCGCCAUCACCCGCCGGCGCCGCACCGCGCUGCCCCGGCGCCUCCCUGUGCCGCCGCCAUCCUCACUAGUGAGAGCAAGAAAAGGAAAGAGAAAGAAAGUGAAAAAAAAGAGGGAG
RNAcentral lists this long non-coding RNA (216 nucleotides) under Oryza brachyantha (malo sina). RNAcentral's name for it is "long non-coding RNA (OBRA_LNC002320)". Lineage: Eukaryota; Viridiplantae; Streptophyta; Magnoliopsida; Poales; Poaceae. The record is from RNAcentral.